This is a non-coding RNA of Styela clava, 1377 nucleotides long. Lineage: Eukaryota; Metazoa; Chordata; Ascidiacea; Stolidobranchia; Styelidae. The record is from RefSeq and is a predicted model, not a curated record.
AGUGGGCCAACAACAAACUUUCUCAACCUGCCAACCGAGCACAUUGUUUCAUUACAUCGAAAUACGUCUGUGCGCAGUAAAUAUUUGCGUGUGCGCAGCCUCUGAAAGCCUUAGAGGGAACACUGCCACUCACCAAUUUUACCUUCUAACUUCUUGGCGAGUUAAAAAGCGUAGGUGUUCUGGGGCAAAAUAGUUUAAGAAACGCUGUUUUAGUGGAAUGUGCUUAAAUAAUAAUUCUUUACCCCAAUAAAAUGCUGUUCGAAAUAAAUUUUUAUGUCGCUACAUUUCAUUGUUACCGUUUAUAUCAGUAACAUUAUUAAAUUGAGUUGGAAAUUUUUUCUGAUUACUGAUGCUCAAAAAAAAUUGAUUGUUACUUUUUUAAUUGCUGUCUAUACAUUUUUUACCUCAUUAAACAAUACUGUUGUUUUGAGAUCAAAUGGAAUUUCAUUUUAUGCCACAGUAUAUAAUAGUGUUGUUUCUAAACUUUCAAUUAUUGUAGUAGGUGAUGAUGCCUAAUUAAUUGGUCAAUUAAGUUUUUCCUUUCCACCUAUAAGUAUUUUUACUACGUAAAACAAUGCUGGGUACUCCCGAAGUAUGUGAACCAAGAUGGCGGACCCCGGAACGUAGUAUGUGUGUCAGGUUAGGGUUAGGUCAUAAUUUCAUAUAAAAAUACUACGAGAGUCACUUGGCGAGUCCUCGAACUCGUAAUAGAACUAAAAUGGACCCCCAACCUGGUACACAUACUACGUUCAGGUGUCCGGCAUCUUGGUUCACAUACCUCGGGAGUGCCCAAUGCUGUAGUGGUGUUAAGAGGAGAUCUCCAUAUGACCUCACUUCCUGACCUGACCAUGGGGAAACAAUAGUUCUUAUGAAUUAUGAUACCUUUUGAGUUUCUGUCGGAAUAUAUAACCAUGUCGCCAUUGAAAACCUGAGAUUUGACUCACACUCAGGGGAUUACCCAGAGGGGGUGGGUUCUUUUGUAGCCUAGGAUGCUUUUUAGACCCUCGAGACUCUCUAUAACCCACAUUACGGUCUAAUUUGGCAAGUUAUGAAUUUCAGAAACCCCCCACCUGAAAAAUCCUGGCUGCACCCUUGCUCACACUACUACCAGAUUGAAGUUACACUAACAAAACUAUGCCAAACUCCUCGUUUCUGAUUUUCACUGCAGAUUCAAUUUUUAGGUGUAAUUCUCACUUUUUCUGAGCAAUGUUUUUUAAUCAACAAAUUAUCUAAGAUUCUCACUUGAUCUUGUAAUAAUGCUGCUGUAAUUAAUACUUAUGCACUGUGUGUUAAUUAAUGCUGUUAAUUACUUGUUUUAAUUAUUUGAAGCAAGAUGCAGUCAAUACUAUAACUACGAGAAUAAAUUUUAUGAUCGAG